Molecule: microRNA precursor, 56 nt
Filed under: Canis lupus familiaris (dog)
Lineage: Eukaryota; Metazoa; Chordata; Mammalia; Carnivora; Canidae
Source: RNAcentral
UGCAUAGGAAGGUCCUGAUUACCAGUAUGAUGUGUAACAGUGCCUGCCUGGGUAGA